This 510-nucleotide ribosomal RNA is filed under the name uncultured bacterium. RNAcentral's name for it is "partial 16S ribosomal RNA". It matches the Rfam family "Bacterial small subunit ribosomal RNA", at positions 28 to 507 of the family's 1533-position model. The record is from RNAcentral.
GACGAACGCUGGCGGCGUGCUUAACACAUGCAAGUCGAACGAAGAGCGAUGGAAGCUUGCUUCUAUCAAUCUUAGUGGCGAACGGGUGAGUAACGCGUAAUCAACCUGCCCUUCAGAGGGGGACAACAGUUGGAAACGACUGCUAAUACCGCAUACGAUCUAACCUCGGCAUCGAGGAUAGAUGAAAGGUGGCCUCUACAUGUAAGCUAUCACUGAAGGAGGGGAUUGCGUCUGAUUAGCUAGUUGGAGGGGUAACGGCCCACCAAGGCGAUGAUCAGUAGCCGGUCUGAGAGGAUGAACGGCCACAGUGGGACUGAGACACGGCCCAGACUCCUACGGGAGGCAGCAGUGGGGAAUCUUCCGCAAUGGACGAAAGUCUGACGGAGCAACGCCGCGUGAGUGAUGACGGCCUUCGGGUUGUAAAGCUCUGUUAAUCGGGACGAAAGGCCUUCUUGCGAAUAGUGAGAAGGAUUGACGGUACCGGAAUAGAAAGCCACGGCUAACUACGUG